Molecule: ribosomal RNA, 253 nt
Filed under: uncultured bacterium
Lineage: Bacteria
Description: partial 16S ribosomal RNA
Rfam family: Bacterial small subunit ribosomal RNA
Source: RNAcentral
UACGAAGGGGGCUAGCGUUGUUCGGAAUUACUGGGCGUAAAGCGCGCGUAGGCGGCGUAUUAAGUCAGAGGUGAAAGGACUGGGCUGAACCCAGGAACUGCCUUUGAGACUGGUGCGCUCGAGUUCGGAAGAGGGUAGUGGAAUUCCCAGUGUAGAGGUGAAAUUCGUAGAUAUUGGGAAGAACACCGGUGUCGAAGGCGGCUACCUGGUCCGAUACUGACGCUGAAUUGCGAAAGCGUGGGGAGCAAUCAGG